RNAcentral lists this ribosomal RNA (677 nucleotides) under uncultured bacterium. Its description in RNAcentral is "bacterial SSU rRNA". It matches the Rfam family "Bacterial small subunit ribosomal RNA", at positions 102 to 783 of the family's 1533-position model. The record is from RNAcentral.
ACGGGUGAGUAACGCGUGGGCAACCUGCCCCAUACCGGGGGAUAGCAGUUGGAAACGACUGGUAAAACCGCAUAAGCGCACAGUAAGGCAUCUUACAGUGUGAAAAACUCCGGUGGUAUGGGAUGGGCCCGCGUCUGAUUAGCCAGUUGGUGAGGUAACGGCUCACCAAAGCGACGAUCAGUAGCCGGCCUGAGAGGGCGGACGGCCACAUUGGGACUGAGACACGGCCCAGACUCCUACGGGAGGCAGCAGUGGGGGAUAUUGCACAAUGGGGGAAACUCUGAUGCAGCGACGCCGCGUGAGUGAAGAAGUAUUUCGGUAUGUAGAGCUCUAUCAGCAGGGAAGAAAGGCUCGCAAGAGAGAUGACGGUACCUGAGUAAGAAGCUCCGGCUAAAUACGUGCCAGCAGCCGCGGUAAUACGUAUGGAGCAAGCGUUAUCCGGAUUUACUGGGUGUAAAGGGAGCGCAGACGGAUAUGCAAGUCUGAAGUGAAACCCCACGGCUCAACCGUGGGCUUGCUUUGGAAACUGUAGAUCUAGAGUACUGGAGAGGUAAGCGGAAUUCCUGGUGUAGCGGUGAAAUGCGUAGAUAUCAGGAAGAACAUCGGCGGCGAAGGCGGCUUACUGGACAGCAACUGACGUUGAGGCUCGAAGGCGUGGGGAGCAAACAGGAUUAGAU